Molecule: long non-coding RNA, 396 nt
Filed under: Homo sapiens (human)
Lineage: Eukaryota; Metazoa; Chordata; Mammalia; Primates; Hominidae
Description: HSALNT0300439
Source: RNAcentral
CUUUUGAGUCACCAGUGACAAGUGUCCCGUGGCUUGGUGCAUGGCGUUGGCUCUCUUUGCAGAGGUGGAAUUGUGCCCCCGUCUUGAAGCCCCCAGUACCUCAAAAUGUGACUAUACUUGGAGAUAGAACCUUUUAAAAGGUCAUGGAAGUAAAAUGAGGUCAUUUGGAUGGGCCCCAGUCCAACAGGACUCAUGUCCUUUAAGAAGAGAUUAGGGCACAGAUACACACAGCAGAAAGACCACGUGAGGACACAGCCACAGUACAGCCACCUCCUAGCCAAAGGACGACCUCAGAAUACACCAGCCCUGCCGACACCUCAAUCCUGGACUUUCAGCCUCCACGACUAUGAGAAGGGUUUCACUGUCGCACAGACUGGAGUGAGUGGCACGAUCUUG